RNAcentral lists this ribosomal RNA (409 nucleotides) under uncultured soil bacterium. Its description in RNAcentral is "bacterial SSU rRNA". It matches the Rfam family "Bacterial small subunit ribosomal RNA", at positions 509 to 916 of the family's 1533-position model. The record is from RNAcentral.
CAGCAGCCGCGGUAAUACGUAGGGGGCAAGCGUUAUCCGGAUUUACUGGGCGUAAAGCGCGUUAAGGCGGCCGCGUAAGUUGGUGGUGAAAUCGCAGGGCUCAACCCUGCAACUGCCUCCAAUACUGCGCGGCUCGAGUGCGAGAGAGGAAGGUGGAAUUCCCGGUGUAGUAGUGAAAUGCGUAGAUAUCGGGAGGAACACCAGUGGCGAAGGCGGCCUUCUGGCUCGCAACUGACGCUGUAGCGCGAAAGUGUGGGGAGCGAACGGGAUUAGAUACCCCGGUAGUCCACACUGUAAACGAUGUGCACUAGGUGUUGGGCGUAUUGACGCGCUCAGUGCCGCAGCUAACGCAUUAAGUGCACCGCCUGGGGAGUACGGCCGCAAGGUUAAAACUCAAAGGAAUUGACGG